CUCAAUAUGGCCGUCGGCGUCCGCCAUUCGCCUCGUCCUCCCCGGCGAGCUUGCCAAGCACACCAUCCCCGAGAGCUACCACCAGCUCCUCUCCCCUUUCCAGCACAAUCGCUGUGAGAGACCCUCCCUGUUGUUCCUCUGCCUGCUUCCCCAUCACAUUCCACCUCCCCCUAUUUGAAGUUAGUUGCUGCUAGAUCUGGACUACUAUUCAAGACAACUCCAACCCUUUUUUGAUGUCAUUUAUCUAUGCCUUAAAAUUAUACAUGUAGAUGCUCAAGUAGGAUCUCUACCUUUCUGUACUGAUUUUAUACUCCAUAGUAAAAAAAAUCCCAUUAUUAUUAGCAUAUAGUACAUAUCUGAUAACAAAGUAACAAAAUACAGCCAACCAUUUUGUAUUAGAUAUUGACAAUUGGAUGUAGUGCAGAAAUGUGAGUAGAGAAUCAUUUUGCUGCACAUAAGUUUCAUUGGUAUAACAUCAAUCUGAUUAAUUUUGGCACUAUGUGCUAAAAAUAUAUCUACAUUGUCCUGUGUUAGAUGUUGAUGAAAUUCAAAACUGGUCGAAGUUAACUGUUACUGGUGUGAUUUGCUAAGAUGAGUAAAAUACAUGCAGACAAGAGCUAGAAAUCAAUUUCUCAUCUGAGAUGACUAGUUGUAGUAUAUUUAUGUGGUUGCUAACUGAGCAUAUGCAUGCACAUGUCUGAACUGAGAAUAUAAUUAAGCUCUUAUUCCUGAUUAGCUUAGAACAAACAUUUAUGAUGCUCUUUGUUAUAAUGUAAUAGCGAGCUCUUUGUUAUCUUACAUGUUCAUCAAACUUCAAGAAGAGAGUGCGGUCAUGUGGCUUUGGAGCGAAAUGGAUGAGUUGCCUACCUAGAAGAGGGAUGCGAUGGAACUGAAGUGAUGCAUGCCUGUCGUUGCGAAACUGAAACUAUGCUGGGAAGCAGAAACCGAAUUUAAGUGAUGUUUGUGUUGCACCCUAGGUGUCGUUGGUACAUGCUGAUGCAUGCCUGUGUUUGACAUAUGAUGUUUAAACUAUGAUCUGAUCGUGUUGUAUGGCCUUUGAUGUUCUUAGUUUAGAUGCCAUUGAUCUUAAAGAUUAUGAUUUGUUGCUUUUAGUAGUACUUGAUGAUAUGGCCACUGAUGCUUCAGCCUGUUCAAUAGUAAAGAUCGGAUUUUUACCA
Molecule: non-coding RNA, 1178 nt
Organism: Triticum urartu
Lineage: Eukaryota; Viridiplantae; Streptophyta; Magnoliopsida; Poales; Poaceae
Source: RefSeq, a predicted model, not a curated record